RNAcentral lists this non-coding RNA (29 nucleotides) under Mus musculus (house mouse). Lineage: Eukaryota; Metazoa; Chordata; Mammalia; Rodentia; Muridae. The record is from RNAcentral.
UGAUUUCACCAGCAUAUGCUGUCAGCUGU